RNAcentral lists this long non-coding RNA (2485 nucleotides) under Homo sapiens (human). RNAcentral describes it as "HSALNT0382250". The record is from RNAcentral. Lineage: Eukaryota; Metazoa; Chordata; Mammalia; Primates; Hominidae.
CCAGCCUUCCAGGAGACCCAGGCAGGGCGUGGUAGGGCGAGGCAGAGGUGGUGCAGAGCGCUCAGCUGCGCAGCAGCAUGAGCGUGACUACAGAUCAGGCCGCACCGUUUAAAAUGGAUACAUGGGUCUUCUGGCUAACUUCCUGUCUUUGGUAGGGUGAUCAUAUGCUUUAUCAUCCAAAUCCAGACACUUAAGAGAGUGAAAGGGGCACUAUAAUAAUUGCACGAGGACAGCAGACAUAACUUUAGCUGUACCUUGCAAACCAGAACAUAUGGUCACCCUACCCUCCGGUCACUUUUUCUUCUUUGUUUCCAUUCUUUUAAUUUUUUUCCCUUUUAAACACACAGCAUUAUCUUUCCCUGAGCACCAUUGUCUUUGCAAAUGCUCUUGCAAUCGGGAUAUUUUUGACCUGGCAACAUGCAUAUUCAGUCUGAACAGUCUCUCUGAACCUACCCCAAAACCUGGUUUUAGCUUCCAGGCAGAAGACUCUGUUCCCUGGCUUGCAACCCCCAUGACUCAAGAAUGAAAGAUGUCAGAAGAUGUCACAGGUGGGACAGUGGCUCUUAUCUCAAUUUUGGUGCCUCUUUGCUAAAUGUAUUCCUGUAAUUUUUUUUUUUUUUUGAGACGGAGUCUCGCUCUGUCGUGCAGGCUGGAGUGCAAUGGUGCAAUCUCGGCUCACUGCAAGCUCUGCCUCCUGGUUUUAUGCCAUUCUCCUGCCUCAGCCUCCCAAGUAUCUGGUACUAUAGGCACGCGCCACCAUGCCUGGUUAAUUUUUGUAUUUUUAGUAGAGACGGGGCUUCACCACGUUGGCCAGGCUGGUCAGAAACUCCUGACCUCAGGUGAUUUGCCCGCCUCAGCUUACUAAAGUGCUGGGAUUACAGGCAUGAGCCACUGUGCCCGGCCCUAUUCCUGUAAUUUUGUUCUGAGUGCUCAUUUCCUUCGUCUCUUUUAAUUUACGUAUAUUGGUUUAUUGAAUUGCAAGUAGACAAGUCCCAUUAAGCAGGAUUCUUGUAUUUCCAAGAUCAUCUCAUUACUCCAUUCAACCCCAAAUUAGCAUGCCAUUUAUCCCCUUGUUUCUGAACCCUCUUCACUUAAUAGUCUUGAAAACAUCCAUCCAUUGCAAAAAGGACUCGAACUGUUUUCACGUCCAUUUUUAGUUGAUUCAUUGAUAUCCAAGUAAUGAUUUGUCUAGGGGAGUCAUUAGUAGAGAACUGUGCCGUUAAAUUUAGUUUUAUAGUUGGAUUCUGCUAGUUAAUAUCUCUCUCUUGUCAUUCUCACAUUGCAACAAAUGACUAUGGUUCCUGUCUUAACCUAAAAUCCAGGUUAGAAAUUUGGUUUUAUCUGAAUAAGAUAUUAAUAGAUAAUGUGAGAAAAAUAAUUUACUGAAACUUUUCUCAGCUAAGAAUGACACUCGUCGUCAUUAAGCAAGUGGAAAAUUGGGCUAUAAAUAUAUAAACUCUUAAAAUAUUAUGUUUAGAGACAAGGUAUUCCUUUUUUUUUUUUUUUUUUUUUUUUUUUUUUAGUAAAGCAUAUUUGCUAUGGUUGGAAUGAUUGUGUCUCCUUUAAAAUUCAUACUGGAACUUAAUCCCCAAUGUGAUAGAAUUAAGAGGUGGAGUCUAGGAGAUGACUAAGCUGUAAGGGAGGAGCCCCCUCAUGAAUGGGGUUAGUGACCUUAUGAAAGGGCUUGAGGGAACUACCUAGCUCUGUUUUCUUUUGUUUUUCUGUCCUUUCCACCAUGUUAGGACACUGUUCAAGGUGCCAUCUUGGAAGCAGGAGCAGCCCUUGCGAGACUACAAGCCUGCUGGCCCCUUGAUCUUGGACUUCUCAGACACCAAAACUGUGAGAAACACAUUUUUUUUCUUUACCCGUUACCCAGUCUCAGAUAUUUUGUUAUAACACCACAAAUGGACUAAGACAGUAUCUUACAUACAGUGAGGUGCAUAUACCUAAAGUUACAACUUUGUACUAUCGUUUUUUGGUUUGUUUUUUGUUUUUGAGAUGGAGUCUUGCUCUGUUGCCCAGACUGGAGUGCAGUGGCAAGAUCUUGGCUCACUGCAACCUCUGCCUCCCGGGUUCAAGUGAUUCUCCAGCCUCAGCCUCCUGAGUAGCUGGGAUUAUAGGCGCCUGCCACCACGCCUGGCUAAUUUUUGUAUGGUAGUAGAGAUGGGGUUUCACCAUGUUGACCAGGCUGGUCUUGAACUCCUGACCUCAAGUGAUCCACCUGCCUAGGCCUCCCAAAGUGCUGGGAUUACAGGUGUGAGUCACCACGCCCAGUCAACUCAAUAGUAUUUACAUAUGUGCACACUCAUGUAACCAACACUCAGCUCAAGAUACAGGAUGUUCCCAUCAGCACAGAGGGCUCCCUCUUGCCCCUUCUCAGUUGCUGUCCCCUCACAGUUAACCAGGAUCCUGACCUCUGUCACCAUGGAUUAGUUUUGCCUGUUCUUGAACUUCAUAUAAAUGGGAUCAUUCAGUAUGUGCGCGU